This 459-nucleotide ribosomal RNA is filed under the name uncultured bacterium. Its description in RNAcentral is "partial 16S ribosomal RNA". It matches the Rfam family "Bacterial small subunit ribosomal RNA", at positions 338 to 795 of the family's 1533-position model. The record is from RNAcentral.
CCUACGGGUGGCAGCAGUGAGGAAUAUUGGUCAAUGGUCGCAAGCCUGAACCAGCCAAGUAGCGUGAAGGAUGACUGCCCUACGGGUUGUAAACUGCUUUUAUGAGGGAAUAAAAUGAGUCACGUGUGCCGUUUUGUAGGUACUGCAUGAAUAAGGACCGGCUAAUUCCGUGCCAGCAGCCGCGGUAAUACGGAGGGUCCGAGCGUUAUCCGGAUUAUUGGGGUUAAAGGGAGCGUAGAUGGGUUGUUAAGUCAGUUGUGAAAGUCUGCGGCUCAACCGUGAAAUUGCAAUGGAUACUGGCAGUCUUGAGUACGGUUGAGGUAUGCGGAAUUCGUGGUGUAGCGGUGAAAUGCUUAGAUAUCACGAAGAACUCCGAUUGCGAAGGCAGCUUACUAAACUGCCACUGACACUGAUGCUCGAAAGUGUGGGUAUCAAACAGGAUUAGAUACCCGAGUAGUC